RNAcentral lists this ribosomal RNA (253 nucleotides) under uncultured bacterium. Its description in RNAcentral is "partial 16S ribosomal RNA". It matches the Rfam family "Bacterial small subunit ribosomal RNA", at positions 524 to 776 of the family's 1533-position model. The record is from RNAcentral.
UACAGAGGUCUCAAGCGUUGUUCGGAUUCAUUGGGCGUAAAGGGUGUGUAGGUGGCGCGCUAAGUCAGGUGUGAAAUUUCGGAGCUUAACUCCGAAACUGCAUUCGAUACUGCCUUGCUUGAGUACUGGAGAGGAGACUGGAAUUUACGGUGUAGCGGUGAAAUGCGUAGAUAUCGUAAGGAAGACCAGUGGCGAAGGCGGGGCUCUGGACAGUUCCUGACGCUGAGGCACGAAGGCCAGGGGAGCAAACGGG